Molecule: ribosomal RNA, 442 nt
Filed under: uncultured Prevotella sp.
Lineage: Bacteria; Pseudomonadati; Bacteroidota; Bacteroidia; Bacteroidales; Prevotellaceae
Description: bacterial SSU rRNA
Rfam family: Bacterial small subunit ribosomal RNA
Source: RNAcentral
UGAGGAAUAUUGGUCAAUGGGCGAGAGCCUGAACCAGCCAAGUAGCGUGCGGGAUGAAGGCCCUAUGGGUUGUAAACCGCUUUUAUGCGGGGAUAAAGUGGGCCACGCGUGGCCUUUUGCAGGUACCGCAUGAAUAAGGACCGGCUAAUUCCGUGCCAGCAGCCGCGGUAAUACGGAAGGUCCGGGCGUUAUCCGGAUUCAUUGGGUUUAAAGGGAGCGCAGGCCGCCCCUUAAGCGUGUUGUGAAAUGCCGCGGCUCAACCGUGGCACUGCAGCGCGAACUGGGGGGCUUGAGUGCGCGCAGCGCAGGCGGAACUCGUGGUGUAGCGGUGAAAUGCUUAGAUAUCACGAAGAACUCCGAUCGCGAAGGCAGCCUGCGGGAGCGCAACUGACGCUGAGGCUCGAAAGUGCGGGUAUCGAACAGGAUUAGAUACCCUGGUAGU